This 2799-nucleotide long non-coding RNA is filed under the name Homo sapiens (human). RNAcentral's name for it is "HSALNT0020952". Lineage: Eukaryota; Metazoa; Chordata; Mammalia; Primates; Hominidae. The record is from RNAcentral.
GCCUGAGCAGCUGAACAGAGCGAUAAUGGGGAGGAAAUGGCUGAGACCUUUCUGAGCCCAGCCCCAGCUCUUUGGCAUUCUACCCUCCUCACUUCUGGGACCUGAGGGGCAGGGUCAGUAAAACAGUUGCUCAAGAGGAAAAGCAGAUUUCUAAACUGCUUUGCUGAUUUGAUCUGGGGCCCUGGAGUGCCAACAUCCUGUGAUAGCGGCUGAUUGUUGAUGCCUGGGAGGAUACAGCAGUGACGAUCCAAAUUUACAAGACUCAACAUGGUUUUCAAAACUUCCUUUUAAAAAAGAUGUUCCUGAGUUCUGGAAUCUGAACAAAAUAUGUCUGGUUAUUAUAUAAUUCUAAUGGUCCUUGUGGAUGCUACCAUUAGAGUUCAGUUAGUGUCUCAUCUAUCACUGUAAUAUUUGUAUUGUAACACUAAUCGUGGCAAAGUAUGAUUUGAUAAAUGCUCAUUCUCAAAUCUUUUAUUUUAGUGUGUUCAUGUAAGAUUAAUGACCAUGAUGACUUGAGAUAGAAUUUUUUGAUUUGUUGCUUUCUUUGUGUCUUCCAAUAUCACACAGAUUUGCAAAGAUAUCUAUGGCACAAGGGGAGAAAAUAAUAACUUAACUAGAGGAUAGGAGUAAGGCCUUCUAUUAACAAGACACUGUUGACAUUUCUAGGUAGAUUUCAGAAUUCUCCAGGCAUGCCUGGUAGAAAUUUUAGAAAUAAAAGCCAGGAAAGAAAGGCAGAAAGACUAUGUUGGGACAUUAGCAAUUUCUUCCUACCACAAUAUUUCUUUAUUCACUGUAAGUAAAUCUAAUGCUAAUUUAUUUAUCUGUCUAUCCUUUGAAUUACAAUUUAAAAUGUCAUAAAACAAAGAUUCAGAUAAGAUAGCUGAUUUGCUCAUAUUGAACGUCACAUUGAUUUUCACCAUCUGAGGCCCAUUGACAUCGUAUGGAUAUUAGAGAACCUGGAAUCACCAAGAUGGGGUUCUCCCACUGUUGUCUUCAUGAUCCAUGAUCAUUUGUACACAGUAAAUAUUUAUUUGAGUACAAUGACUUUACAAAUGAUACAUGCAGAUUCUGUAUACAAGGCUGAGAGUGAGUAGACCCAAUUUCAAACAAAAGGUUAUAUAUGUGACCAGUGAGAGUUUUCUAUCAUUCUCUAGGAGGCUAGACUAGGCAGAGUGCAAUUUAGGCCCCUGUGUGGUAAGGUGAGUUUUAAAAUUCCUCCUUUAUUUUCUCACUUGUUUUGGACAGCCAGGACCCAAAACAAAGCUAUUUAUUUGAAACCUCUCUCCUCUCUCUCUUCUUCCUCUUUCAUCAAUUUGAUUCCCUUUUUAUUAUCAUUAUUUAUGUUUUGUAUAACUAGAAAAAUAAUUUGUCAUGGAUUACAUCUUAUUUGCAAGAGGCUCUAGUAAGAUGGCAACAAGGCAUGCACAAUAUAUCAUAAUUUAGCAGCUUCUCUUGUAACUAUACUAAACUAGUGGUGGAAGAAAAUACAUAUAAACAACUCCGACAACAGAUUUUGAAUGAUCCAGUAACUUUGAUUUAUAUUUGGUAUUUGAUGGAACUGUAUUAGCAGUUAAAGCCAAUGGCUAAAUGAUUCCCAACACAAAAUGAGUCAGAAGUACAAAAGAAGCUUUACAAUGCACAAUAGAGAGCUCUGAGCCUCCCAGCUUAAAUUUCCAAAUUGCAGUGUAAAUUACAGGACUGCUUGUCAAUUUUAACUAACAGUUCUACCCAAUAGGGUCUAGCUAGGUAAUUCAUCCAUUAUUCCUUUAUGAAACAGUAAACACCAGCUAAAUUCCAUUGGCUUUUCUAAAUAAAAUUGCCUCAUCUCUCAUAUCUACUGCAGAGAAGGAGUGAAUCAACCUCUGACGACAGUAAGUCCCACACAACAAACAACAUGUGAAACCUGGAAUUAGUUAAAAAUGCUUUCCAUAUUUGUUAAUAGAAUUGGGUGCCAAUCAUCUUGAGAUGAUCUCAACCUUCCCAAGUUCUUUUGGUGGAAGGACUCUCACAUUCUUCUAUUUCCCCUCCUUACCCUAUAUUUUCUCUCAUCCCCAAAUAACUAUUUUCUCUUCACUUGUUUCCUCUAUGGCUUUCCCUGUCACAAAGAAGAAAUGAAUGAAAGAUUUGGAAGUCAAAAUCUAGCACUCCAAUUACCAACAUUAGCAGGAAGAGAAGAAUGUUCCAAAUAUCAACAAGAAUCUCAAAUCUAACCAAGCAAAAUAUGCAAUUAUGUAGGCAGAUGCUGGCUCAUCAGCCACUGAUAUAGACUGAUUUCUACCACUUCAUUAAUUUGACUUUCUUACUCUGGGCAAUUUGAUCAUACCCAUACAGCAUAUUUCUUAGCCAGAAAUAGAUUUGAUUGUUCUAGGCCAGGUGGGAAAGCCAAUAGAUUUGCACAAAUGCUUCACAGGGCAUCUGUAUUAUAGCAGGGAUGUGGGAAGUUUUAUUGUAGAGUUUGGAAGUGGACUGCUGAAUUCUCUUCCUUUAACCUAAUCAUGUCAUUCACGUGUGGAGCAUAGUCAGUCUUUACAUGUAUCUAUUGGUCUUUAUUGUUCAAUUUUUUUUUUUUUUUUUGAGAUGGAAUCUUGCUCUGUCACCCAGGCUGGAGUGCAGUGGCAUGAUCUCAGCUCACUGCAAAUUCCACCCACCAGAUUCAAGUGAUUCUCAUGCCUUAUCCUCUUGAGUAGUUGAGAUUACAGGUGCAUAUUGUCACACCUGGCUAAUUUUCGUAUUUUUAGUAGAGACGAGGUUUUGCCAUGUUGGCCAUGCUAGUCUGAAACUCCUGAACUCAAGUGAUCC